Molecule: ribosomal RNA, 484 nt
Filed under: uncultured bacterium
Lineage: Bacteria
Description: partial 16S ribosomal RNA
Rfam family: Bacterial small subunit ribosomal RNA
Source: RNAcentral
AUUGAACGCUGGCGGCAUGCUUUACACAUGCAAGUCGAACGGCAGCGCGGGCUUCGGCCUGGCGGCGAGUGGCGAACGGGUGAGUAAUACAUCGGAACGUGCCCAGUAGUGGGGGAUAGCUCGGCGAAAGCCGGAUUAAUACCGCAUACGAUCUGAGGGUGAAAGCGGGGGAUCUUCGGACCUCGCGCUAUUGGAGCGGCCGAUGGCAGAUUAGCUAGUUGGUGGGGUAAAGGCCUACCAAGGCGACGAUCUGUAGCUGGUCUGAGAGGACGACCAGCCACACUGGGACUGAGACACGGCCCAGACUCCUACGGGAGGCAGCAGUGGGGAAUUUUGGACAAUGGGCGAAAGCCUGAUCCAGCAAUGCCGCGUGUGUGAUGAAGGCCUUCGGGUUGUAAAGCACUUUUGGCGGGAACGAAAAGGACUGUGCCAAUACCACGGUUCGAUGACGGUACCCGCAGAAUAAGCACCGGCUAACUACGUG